This 1475-nucleotide ribosomal RNA is filed under the name Vibrio antiquarius. RNAcentral describes it as "bacterial SSU rRNA". It matches the Rfam family "Bacterial small subunit ribosomal RNA". The record is from RNAcentral. Lineage: Bacteria; Pseudomonadati; Pseudomonadota; Gammaproteobacteria; Vibrionales; Vibrionaceae.
AUUGAACGCUGGCGGCAGGCCUAACACAUGCAAGUCGAGCGGAAACGAGUUAUCUGAACCUUCGGGGAACGAUAACGGCGUCGAGCGGCGGACGGGUGAGUAAUGCCUAGGAAAUUGCCCUGAUGUGGGGGAUAACCAUUGGAAACGAUGGCUAAUACCGCAUGAUGCCUACGGGCCAAAGAGGGGGACCUUCGGGCCUCUCGCGUCAGGAUAUGCCUAGGUGGGAUUAGCUAGUUGGUGAGGUAAGGGCUCACCAAGGCGACGAUCCCUAGCUGGUCUGAGAGGAUGAUCAGCCACACUGGAACUGAGACACGGUCCAGACUCCUACGGGAGGCAGCAGUGGGGAAUAUUGCACAAUGGGCGCAAGCCUGAUGCAGCCAUGCCGCGUGUGUGAAGAAGGCCUUCGGGUUGUAAAGCACUUUCAGUCGUGAGGAAGGUAGUGUAGUUAAUAGCUGCAUUAUUUGACGUUAGCGACAGAAGAAGCACCGGCUAACUCCGUGCCAGCAGCCGCGGUAAUACGGAGGGUGCGAGCGUUAAUCGGAAUUACUGGGCGUAAAGCGCAUGCAGGUGGUUUGUUAAGUCAGAUGUGAAAGCCCGGGGCUCAACCUCGGAAUAGCAUUUGAAACUGGCAGACUAGAGUACUGUAGAGGGGGGUAGAAUUUCAGGUGUAGCGGUGAAAUGCGUAGAGAUCUGAAGGAAUACCGGUGGCGAAGGCGGCCCCCUGGACAGAUACUGACACUCAGAUGCGAAAGCGUGGGGAGCAAACAGGAUUAGAUACCCUGGUAGUCCACGCCGUAAACGAUGUCUACUUGGAGGUUGUGGCCUUGAGCCGUGGCUUUCGGAGCUAACGCGUUAAGUAGACCGCCUGGGGAGUACGGUCGCAAGAUUAAAACUCAAAUGAAUUGACGGGGGCCCGCACAAGCGGUGGAGCAUGUGGUUUAAUUCGAUGCAACGCGAAGAACCUUACCUACUCUUGACAUCCAGAGAACUUUCCAGAGAUGGAUUGGUGCCUUCGGGAACUCUGAGACAGGUGCUGCAUGGCUGUCGUCAGCUCGUGUUGUGAAAUGUUGGGUUAAGUCCCGCAACGAGCGCAACCCUUAUCCUUGUUUGCCAGCGAGUAAUGUCGGGAACUCCAGGGAGACUGCCGGUGAUAAACCGGAGGAAGGUGGGGACGACGUCAAGUCAUCAUGGCCCUUACGAGUAGGGCUACACACGUGCUACAAUGGCGCAUACAGAGGGCAGCCAACUUGCGAAAGUGAGCGAAUCCCAAAAAGUGCGUCGUAGUCCGGAUUGGAGUCUGCAACUCGACUCCAUGAAGUCGGAAUCGCUAGUAAUCGUGGAUCAGAAUGCCACGGUGAAUACGUUCCCGGGCCUUGUACACACCGCCCGUCACACCAUGGGAGUGGGCUGCAAAAGAAGUAGGUAGUUUAACCUUCGGGGGGACGCUUACCACUUUGUGGUUCAUGACUGGGGUG